RNAcentral lists this long non-coding RNA (1013 nucleotides) under Bos taurus (domestic cattle). RNAcentral's name for it is "long non-coding RNA NONBTAT024109". Lineage: Eukaryota; Metazoa; Chordata; Mammalia; Artiodactyla; Bovidae. The record is from RNAcentral.
AUUUUUAAAUUGAUUGGCACUUCAGCUAUAGUAAAAUUGUAAAUUUAAACUCUUCUACGUAGCAGCUAUUUCUGUUCAAAUGGGAAUUCACUACUAGAGAAUAAAUGUCUAUGUAGUCUUACUGCAGUGAUGUAGAUAAGGACUUAAACAUUAAAUUAUUAAUAACAACCAAAUACGUCAUUUGACUGAAUUGUUACUAUAGAUGAAACUUAACUUUUCCUGCUUGUAUGUUGUUUUCUGUAGAGUUGCCUUUAUACAGAUUAUUUAGCAGAGUUCAAGUCUCAGAGAAUUGCUUUUGCUCAGUAAAUUUAGACUCUGCUACUUUUCACCUUUGUGAUCAGUAAAACUUAUGAAAAAGACAAAAGCAUGCUCAACAAAGCUGUAGGUUUUUAAGUUCAGUCUCUCAACUUAGUCAUUCUGACAUAACUAUUUGAUUGAUUUGAGGUGGUUGCUGUGGUGCUGCUCCAGCCCAUGUGCAUCCUGAGCUUUGUGUGAUCAGUCUUGAGGCUGUGAUCUGAGCAAGUGGAAGAUGUACUUUUGGCAUCACAUCAGAAAAUGUCCUUUUGGCUAUGUCUGAAGGACAGGACCAACUUCAGAUUCCCUAAGAAGCCAGCCAUAGAAAGCCUAGGACACUGUUGUCUUGCAGGCAGUACUAAAGUAUAUCUUCAGCCUCUUCAAUACCAGAGGCAUCCCUACUGGUUGAGAACGACAAGGGGAGACCUUAAUGGGACCUUACCAGAAGUGGAAUCAUAUGAGUCCUCUGAAGUGAGUGAUUCUGAAGAAUCUGAAGAGGUACUUCCCUGGAAUAAUUGCCUGCCUGAAGAAAAAAUUUACAUAUAUAUUUAUAUCCCUGUCAUAGUGUAAAGAGAUUGUCAUAGUGUAAAUCAGAAACAACCUUGUUAUUGACCAUCUCAGGAACCAGAACAAAAGGAAUUGGCUUCAAGGGAUCUGAGCCUCACUGCCCUUUUCAUUUUAAUGCUUUAAUGAUUUCUGCAUUGGCAGAAAAUUUCAUA